RNAcentral lists this transfer RNA (68 nucleotides) under Psammodromus algirus. RNAcentral's name for it is "tRNA-Gly". The record is from RNAcentral. Lineage: Eukaryota; Metazoa; Chordata; Lepidosauria; Squamata; Lacertidae.
ACUUUUCUAGUAUAACUAGUACAAAUGAUUUCCACUCAUACAGUCUUAAAUUAACCUAAGGAAAAGUA